Molecule: ribosomal RNA, 485 nt
Filed under: uncultured bacterium
Lineage: Bacteria
Description: partial 16S ribosomal RNA
Rfam family: Bacterial small subunit ribosomal RNA
Source: RNAcentral
AGUGAACGCUGGCGGCGUGCUUAACACAUGCAAGUCGAACGAGAACGGAAUAUAGCUUGCUAUAUUUGUCAGCUAAGUGGCGCACGGGUGAGUAAUGUAUAGAUAACCUGCCCUUAAGAAAGGAAUAACAGUUGGAAACGACUGCUAAUGCCCUAUAUGCCUUUAAUACAUAAGUAUGCAAGGGAAACGCCUUAGUGCUUAAGGAUGGGUCUGUAUGGUAUCAGCUUGUUGGUGAGGUAAUGGCUCACCAAGGCUAUGACGCCUAACUGGUUUGAGAGGAUGAUCAGUCACACUGGAACUGAGACACGGUCCAGACUACUACGGGAGGCAGAAGUGGGGAAUAUUGCACAAUGGACGAAAGUCUGAAGCAGCACCGCCGCGUGGAGGAUGACACAUUUCGGUGCGUAAACUCCUUUUAUAUAGGAAGAUAAUGACGGUACAAUAUGAAUAAGCACCGGCUAACUCCGUGCCAGCCGCCGCCGUAA